Molecule: unclassified non-coding RNA, 616 nt
Filed under: Drosophila virilis
Lineage: Eukaryota; Metazoa; Arthropoda; Insecta; Diptera; Drosophilidae
Description: GJ12544
Source: RNAcentral
CCAAACAGAAAGCAAUUCGAGACAUGGGCAAGAAAGACAAAAAUAAGGAACCGGCGGACGCUGCAGCAGCUGUCGAUGCACCACCAACCGAUGGCCCGCCGGCGGGCGAGGGCGCCGACGGCGAAAUUGUGGGCGGACCGCGCAAUCCGCAACAAAUUGCGGCACAAAAGCGACUGCAGCAAACGCAGGCCCAGGUCGAUGAGGUCGUGGACAUUAUGCGCACGAAUGUCGAGAAGGUGCUGGAGCGUGAUGCCAAGCUCUCCGAGCUGGACGAUCGUGCCGAUGCCUUGCAGCAGGGCGCCUCGCAGUUCGAACAGCAGGCGGGCAAGCUAAAACGAAAAUUCUGGCUGCAGAACUUGAAGAUGAUGAUCAUCAUGGGCGUCAUUGGACUGGUCAUUGUUGGCAUCAUAGCAAAGAAAGACGAAGAAAAAUAAAAAAACAAUUUGUGCAAGCUUUAGCUUUAUGUUAUGUUUAUCAAUAAGAAAUUAUCAAAAGAAACCAAAAAUUCGUUAAAAUCUUAUUAUUUCGAGAUAAACUUGGCCUCAUAGGCGGCGAGCCGGCGCCGCAAUAUCCGCAAUAUCCGCCGUAUAUGCCACCACCGCCGCCGCAGCAACAG